RNAcentral lists this small nuclear RNA (106 nucleotides) under Phascolarctos cinereus (koala). The record is from RNAcentral. Lineage: Eukaryota; Metazoa; Chordata; Mammalia; Diprotodontia; Phascolarctidae.
GUGUUUGUGUCAGCAGCACAUACACUAAAAUUGGAACAAUAUGAGAAGAUUAGCAUGGCCCCUGUGCAAGAAUGACAUGCAUAUUUGUGAAAAAUUUUAAAAGUCA